Long non-coding RNA from Stegastes partitus (bicolor damselfish), 454 nucleotides. RefSeq lists it as uncharacterized. The transcript has 3 exons. The record is from RefSeq and is a predicted model, not a curated record. NCBI's taxonomy places the organism in Eukaryota, Metazoa, Chordata, Actinopteri, Pomacentridae.
UGCAGUCCAAAUGUUUUUCUUUCUAAGUUUUAUGUGAUUUCCACUAGUGAUAUGUGUCAUUACGGCUGAACGAGCGGAUACGCUGAUUUGUAAUUAGAGGAUGCUGCAAGUGGUCUGAGUCAGUUGUAACUGAAAUGAUUGUGAGAAGAAAUACGCUUCAGCUGUGAGCCCCAGACUGAGGUUAGGACACCAAGCAGUGCGACCAACAGCAGGACGAGGAAGUCUCAGCAUGCAGUCCUCCUCUGUUGACACACACAUCCUGUGUCUGAUGGGAAAGCAGAGCAGUGUGACGAACAGGUCAUGAGCAUCUUCUUGGGGCAGCGAGGGUCAUGUGAGCGACAGUGAGAAAGACUCCAGGCCAGGAAUAAUUCUUUAAGGCGGACAUCAAGUACUCCUCAAGGACAACACUGAUAUUCCCAAAUGAUGCUGAGUUGGAGACAAUAAAGUAAACUUU